UACGAGGGGGGCGAGCGUUGUUCGGAAUUAUUGGGCGUAAAGGGUGCGUAGGCGGUUUGGCAAGUCUUAUGUGAAAUCUAUGGGCUCAACUCAUAGUCUGCAUGAGAAACUGCCGGGCUUGAGUAUGGGAGAGGUGAGUGGAAUUCCUGGUGUAGCGGUGAAAUGCGUAGAUAUCAGGAGGAACACCUGUGGCGAAAGCGGCUCACUGGACCAUAACUGACGCUGAUGCACGAAAGCUAGGGGAGCAAACAGG
This 253-nucleotide ribosomal RNA is filed under the name uncultured bacterium. RNAcentral's name for it is "partial 16S ribosomal RNA". It matches the Rfam family "Bacterial small subunit ribosomal RNA", at positions 524 to 776 of the family's 1533-position model. The record is from RNAcentral.